CCUUGUCGGUUAAAUACCGACCUGCAUGAAUGGCGUAACGAGAUGGGAGCUGUCUCAAAGAGGGAUCCAGUGAAAUUGUAGUGGAGGUGAAAAUUCCUCCUACCCGCGGCAAGACGGAAAGACCCCGUGGACCUUUACUACAGCUUGACACUGCUACUUGGAUAAGAAUGUGCAGGAUAGGUGGGAGGCUUUGAGUAUAUGACGCCAGUUGUAUAUGAGCCAUUGUUGAGAUACCACUCUUUCUUAUUUGGGUAGCUAACCAGCUUGAGUUAUCCUCAAGUGGGACAAUGUCUGGUGGGUAGUUUGACUGGGGCGGUCGCCUCCCAAAUAAUAACGGAGGCUUACAAAGGUUGGCUCAGAACGGUUGGAAAUCGUUCGUAGAGUAUAAAGGUAUAAGCCAGCUUAACUGCAAGACAUACAAGUCAAGCAGAGACGAAAGUCGGUCUUAGUGAUCCGGUGGUUCUGUGUGGAAGGGCCAUCGCUCAAAGGAUAAAAGGUACCCCGGGGAUAACAGGCUGAUCUCCCCCAAGAGCUCACAUCGACGGGGAGGUUUGGCACCUCGAUGUCGGCUCAUCGCAUCCUGGGGCU
This 588-nucleotide ribosomal RNA is filed under the name Campylobacter jejuni. RNAcentral describes it as "bacterial LSU rRNA". It matches the Rfam family "Bacterial large subunit ribosomal RNA", at positions 1967 to 2554 of the family's 2925-position model. The record is from RNAcentral. Lineage: Bacteria; Pseudomonadati; Campylobacterota; Epsilonproteobacteria; Campylobacterales; Campylobacteraceae.